Molecule: ribosomal RNA, 480 nt
Filed under: uncultured bacterium
Lineage: Bacteria
Description: partial 16S ribosomal RNA
Rfam family: Bacterial small subunit ribosomal RNA
Source: RNAcentral
GACGAACGCUGGCGGCGCGCCUAACACAUGCAAGUCGAGCGAUGAAAUUUUAACCGAUCUCUUCGGAGAGAAGAUAAAAUGGAUUAGCGGCGGACGGGUGAGUAACACGUGAGAAACCUGCCUUUCACAAGGGGAUAGCCUCGGGAAACCGGGAUUAAUACCCUAUGACACAUUUCCUUCGCAUGGAAGAAAUGUUAAAACUCCGGUGGUGAAAGAUGGUCUCGCGCCUGAUUAGCUAGUUGGUGGGGUAACGGCCCACCAAGGCCAUGAUCAGUAACCGGCCUGAGAGGGUGAACGGUCACAUUGGAACUGGGACACGGUCCAAACUCCUACGGGAGGCAGCAGUGGGGAAUAUUGCACAAUGGAGGAAACUCUGAUGCAGCGACGCCGCGUGAGCGAUGAAGGCUUUCGAGUCGUAAAGCUCUGUCCUAUGGGAAGAUAAUGACGGUACCAUAGGAGGAAGCCCCGGCUAACUACGUG